This 367-nucleotide ribosomal RNA is filed under the name uncultured bacterium. Its description in RNAcentral is "bacterial SSU rRNA". It matches the Rfam family "Bacterial small subunit ribosomal RNA", at positions 525 to 896 of the family's 1533-position model. The record is from RNAcentral.
ACGGAGGAUCCAAGCGUUAUCCGGAAUCAUUGGGUUUAAAGGGUCCGUAGGCGGUUUUGUAAGUCAGUGGUGAAAGCCCAUCGCUCAACGAUGGAACGGCCAUUGAUACUGCUAGACUUGAAUUACUAGGAAGUAACUAGAAUAUGUAGUGUAGCGGUGAAAUGCUUAGAUAUUACAUGGAAUACCAAUUGCGAAGGCAGGUUACUACUAGUGGAUUGACGCUGAUGGACGAAAGCGUGGGGAGCGAACAGGAUUAGAUACCCUGGUAGUCCACGCCGUAAACGAUGGAUACUAGCUGUUGGGCGCAAGUUCAGUGGCUAAGCGAAAGUGAUAAGUAUCCCACCUGGGGAGUACGUUCGCAAGAAUG